GACGAACGCUGGCGGCGUGCCUAAUACAUGCAAGUAGAACGCUGAAGGAGGAGCUUGCUUCUCUGGAUGAGUUGCGAACGGGUGAGUAACGCGUAGGUAACCUGCCUGGUAGCGGGGGAUAACUAUUGGAAACGAUAGCUAAUACCGCAUAAUAGUAGAUGUUGCAUGACAUUUGCUUAAAAGGUGCAAUUGCAUCACUACCAGAUGGACCUGCGUUGUAUUAGCUAGUUGGUGGGGUAACGGCUCACCAAGGCGACGAUACAUAGCCGACCUGAGAGGGUGAUCGGCCACACUGGAACUGAGACACGGCCCAGACUCCUACGGGAGGCAGCAGUAGGGAAUCUUCGGCAAUGGACGGAAGUCUGACCGAGCAACGCCGCGUGAGUGAAGAAGGUUUUCGGAUCGUAAAGCUCUGUUGUAAGAGAAGAACGAGUGUGAGAGUGGAAAGUUCACACUGUGACGGUAUCUUACCAGAAAGGGACGGCUAACUACGUG
Molecule: ribosomal RNA, 495 nt
Filed under: uncultured bacterium
Lineage: Bacteria
Description: partial 16S ribosomal RNA
Rfam family: Bacterial small subunit ribosomal RNA
Source: RNAcentral